UCGUAUAGUCCGUACCCCAAACCGACACAGGUGGACUGGCAGAGUAUGCUAAGGCGCUUGAGAGAACUGUAUUGAAGGAACUAGGCAAAUUGCCCUCGUAACUUCGGAAGAAGAGGGCCCGGUCUCUACGCAAGUAUUGGCCGGGGGCACAUAGCAGGGGGUGGCGACUGUUUACUAAAAACACAGGGCGCUGCGAAAUCCAAAGAUGACGUAUAGCGUCUGACGCCUGCCCGGUGCUGGAAGGUUAAGAGGAGAUGUGAAAGCGUUGAAUCGAAGCCCCAGUAAACGGCGGCCGUAACAAUAACGGUCCUAAGGUAGCGAAAUUCCUUGUCGGGUAAGUUCCGACCUGCACGAAAGGCGUAACGACUUCCCCACUGUCUCCAAUACAGGCUCAGCGAAAUUGAAUUCCCCGUGAAGAUGCGGGGUUCCCGCGGUCAGACGGAAAGACCCCGUGCACCUUUACUGCAACUUACACUGGCAUUAGGAAUGGGAUGUGUAGGAUAGGUGGUAGGCAUUGAAGCAGAGGCGCUAGCCUUUGUGGAGCCGUCCUUGAAAUACCACCCUUCUUGUUCCUGAUGUCUAACCGCGACCCGUCACCGGGUCCGAGACAGUGUAUGGUAGGCAGUUUGACUGGGGCGGUCGCCUCCCAAAGAGUAACGGAGGCGCGCGAUGGUAGGCUCAAUCCGGUCGGAAAUCGGAUGUUGAGUGCAAUGGCAAAAGCCUGCCUGACUGCAAGGUCGACGGACCAAGCAGAGACGAAAGUCGGUCAUAGUGAUCCGGUGAUCCCGAGUGGAAGGGUCAUCGCUCAACGGAUAAAAGGUACGCCGGGGAUAACAGGCUGAUCGCACCCAAGCGUCCAUAGCGACGGUGCGGUUUGGCACCUCGAUGUCGGCUCAUCACAUCCUGGGGCUGUAGCCGGUCCCAAGGGUAUGGCUGUUCGCCAUUUAAAGUGGUACGUGAGCUGGGUUUAGAACGUCGUGAGACAGUUCGGUCCCUAUCUGCCGUGGGUGUUCGAAACUUGAGAGGACUUUUUCCUAGUACGAGAGGACCGGAAAGAACGUAUCUCUGGUGGAUCGGUUGUCACGCCAGUGGCAUAGCCGAGUAGCUAAAUACGGACAAGAUAACCGCUGAAAGCAUCUAAGCGGGAAACUUACCUCAAAACCAGGUUUCGCUUGAGAGCCGGGGAAGACUACCCCGUCGAUAGGCCAGGUGUGUAAGCGCGGCAACGCGUUGAGCUUACUGGUACUAAUCGCUCCAAA
This 1259-nucleotide ribosomal RNA is filed under the name metagenome. RNAcentral's name for it is "bacterial LSU rRNA". It matches the Rfam family "Bacterial large subunit ribosomal RNA", at positions 1633 to 2915 of the family's 2925-position model. The record is from RNAcentral.